AGAGUUUGAUCAUGGCUCAGAACGUACGCUGGCGGCACGCCUAACACAUGCAAGUCGAACGAAGUAGCAAUACUUAGUGGCAGACGGGUGAGUAACAUGUGGGUAUCUGCCCUUUGGCCUGGAAUAACACGAGGAAACUUGUGCUAAUACCGGAUAAGUCUUUACGGAGAAAGCUUUAUGCACCAUUGGAUGAGCCCGCACUUGAUUAGUUUGUUGGUGGGGUAAUGGCCUACCAAGACUGUGAUCAAUAGCUGAUUUGAGAGGAUGAUCAGCCACAUUGGGACUGAGACACGGCCCAAACUCCUACGGGAGGCAGCAGUGGGGAAUCUUGCACAAUGGAGGAAACUCUGAUGCAGCGAUGCCGCGUGAGUGAAGAAGGCCCUUGGGUUGUAAAGCUCUUUCGUCGGGGAAGAAAAUGACUGUACCCGAAUAAGAAGGUCCGGCUAACUUCGUGCCAGCAGCCGCGGUAAUACGAAGGGACCUAGCGUAGUUCGGAAUUACUGGGCUUAAAGAGUUCGUAGGUGGUUGAAAAAGUUGGUGGUGAAAUCCCAGAGCUUAACUCUGGAACUGCCAUCAAAACUUUUCAGCUAGAGUAUGAUAGAGGAAAGCAGAAUUUCUAGUGUAGAGGUGAAAUUCGUAGAUAUUAGAAAGAAUACCAAUUGCGAAGGCAGCUUUCUGGAUCAUUACUGACACUGAGGAACGAAAGCAUGGGUAGCGAAGAGGAUUAGAUACCCUCGUAGUCCAUGCCGUAAACGAUGUGUGUUAGACGUUGGAAAUUUAUUUUCAGUGUCGCAGCGAAAGCGAUAAACACACCGCCUGGGGAGUACGACCGCAAGGUUAAAACUCAAAUGAAUUGACGGGGACCCGCACAAGUAGUGGAGCAUGUGGUUUAAUUCGAAGAUACGCGCAGAACCUUACCAACACUUGACAUGUUCGUCGCGACUUUAAGAGAUUAAAGUUUUCGGUUCGGCCGGACGAAACACAGGUGCUGCAUGGCUGUCGUCAGCUCGUGUCGUGAGAUGUUGGGUUAAGUCCCGCAACGAGCGCAACCCUCACUUUUAGUUGCCAUCAUUAAGUUGGGCACUCUGAAAGAACUGCCAGUGAUAAGCUGGAGGAAGGUGGGGAUGACGUCAAGUCCUCAUGGCCCUUACGUGUUGGGCUACACACGUGCUACAAUGGUAUCUACAACAGGAAGCAAGACGGCGACGUUAAGCAAAUCCUCAAAAGAUACCUCAGUUCGGAUUGCACUCUGCAACUCGAGUGCAUGAAGCUGGAAUUACUAGUAAUCGUGGAUCAGCGUGCCACGGUGAAUGCGUUCCCGGGUCUUGUACACACCGCCCGUCACACCAUGGGAGUUGGUUCUACCUUAAGGCAAGGUUUAAAACCCUUGACCACGGUAUAGUCAGCGACUGGGGUGAAGUCGUAACUAAGGUAGCCGUA
RNAcentral lists this ribosomal RNA (1440 nucleotides) under uncultured bacterium. Its description in RNAcentral is "bacterial SSU rRNA". It matches the Rfam family "Bacterial small subunit ribosomal RNA". The record is from RNAcentral.